CGGCGUCGAGCGGCGGACGGGUGAGUAAUGCCUAGGAAAUUGCCCUGAUGUGGGGGAUAACCAUUGGAAACGAUGGCUAAUACCGCAUAAUGCCUACGGGUCAAAGAGGGGGACCUUCGGGCCUCUCGCGUCAGGAUAUGCCUAGGUGGGAUUAGCUAGUUGGUGAGGUAAUGGCUCACCAAGGCGACGAUCCCUAGCUGGUCUGAGAGGAUGAUCAGCCACACUGGAACUGAGACACGGUCCAGACUCCUACGGGAGGCAGCAGUGGGGAAUAUUGCACAAUGGGCGCAAGCCUGAUGCAGCCAUGCCGCGUGUGUGAAGAAGGCCUUCGGGUUGUAAAGCACUUUCAGUCGUGAGGAAGGUAGUGUAGUUAAUAGCUGCAUUAUUUGACGUUAGCGACAGAAGAAGCACCGGCUAACUCCGUGCCAGCAGCCGCGGUAAUACGGAGGGUGCGAGCGUUAAUCGGAAUUACUGGGCGUAAAGCGCAUGCAGGUGGUUUGUUAAGUCAGAUGUGAAAGCCCGGGGCUCAACCUCGGAAUAGCAUUUGAAACUGGCAGACUAGAGUACUGUAGAGGGGGGUAGAAUUUCAGGUGUAGCGGUGAAAUGCGUAGAGAUCUGAAGGAAUACCGGUGGCGAAGGCGGCCCCCUGGACAGAUACUGACACUCAGAUGCGAAAGCGUGGGGAGCAAACAGGAUUAGAUACCCUGGUAGUCCACGCCGUAAACGAUGUCUACUUGGAGGUUGUGGCCUUGAGCCGUGGCUUUCGGAGCUAACGCGUUAAGUAGACCGCCUGGGGGAGUACGGUCGCAAGAUUAAAACUCAAAUGAAUUGACGGGGGCCCGCACAAGCGGUGGAGCAUGUGGUUUAAUUCGAUGCAACGCGAAGAACCUUACCUACUCUUGACAUCCAGAGAACUUUCCAGAGAUGGAUUGGUGCCUUCGGGAACUCUGAGCAGGUGCUGCAUGGCUGUCGUCAGCUCGUGUUGUGAAAUGUUGGGUUAAGUCCC
Molecule: ribosomal RNA, 1006 nt
Filed under: Vibrio sp.
Lineage: Bacteria; Pseudomonadati; Pseudomonadota; Gammaproteobacteria; Vibrionales; Vibrionaceae
Description: bacterial SSU rRNA
Rfam family: Bacterial small subunit ribosomal RNA
Source: RNAcentral